Molecule: non-coding RNA, 21 nt
Filed under: Caenorhabditis elegans
Lineage: Eukaryota; Metazoa; Nematoda; Chromadorea; Rhabditida; Rhabditidae
Source: RNAcentral
UUCAUGAACUUGUUGAGACAG